ACCCCCGCGCGCGCGCCGAAUGUAAACAGUAACGAACGGCAUUGUAGAAAAGAGAGAGCCGUAAUGCAGAAGAGAAGUUGUGUAUUCUUUCGGUGUACACAUGCAUUUUCAAUUUGCUGUGAAACAUAUGAACAUGCACAGGGAACAAUACUACAUAUUUGUUUAAGGAGGAUAUUUUUCUCGUGUGAAUCGUUUACGAGGAAAUUCUGACAGCCACACUUCUGUCGACGAUCAGCCGUUGAUAAGCUACGAGUAAUAAAGGAGAAAAGAUGGACAUUAAAGUGUGUGAUUUAUGUGGAUGUUACUGAAGAAGCUCAAAACAGACUCUUGUUACCACAUGGCUUUUACCGGUACCUGUUGAUUCUUGUGGGUCAGCUCCGGAGAUUAACCUGUCACCUCUAUCCACAUGCAUAUUCCUUGUGUUCUACAGACUAUUUACCGGUAAUUCAAAUUAAAUCCAAUAAUGCAUGAACAGUAAUGGAACUUGAAGAAAGCAUCAUGCCAUGUUGUGGUUUGUGUUUGAUAAGAAAUUAUGAAAACAAAAUUAAGGCUGUUUAAAGAAAUUCAUAAUUGCUGUGAAAAUUUGUUUUUCAAUAAAAGUAUACAAUUAUG
Molecule: long non-coding RNA, 612 nt
Organism: Magallana angulata
Lineage: Eukaryota; Metazoa; Mollusca; Bivalvia; Ostreida; Ostreidae
Exons: 2
Source: RefSeq, a predicted model, not a curated record